This is an RNA transcript of Heterocephalus glaber (naked mole-rat), 1969 nucleotides long. RefSeq lists it as uncharacterized. Lineage: Eukaryota; Metazoa; Chordata; Mammalia; Rodentia; Bathyergidae. The record is from RefSeq and is a predicted model, not a curated record.
AAGUCUGAAAGUUCAGGUCAAGUCACCAGCAGAUUAAGGCUUAGUCUCUUUGCUUUCAUGGUGCUGUAAAGGCUAGGUCCUCUGGAGAGGAGCAAUGUUAUGUUCUUAUAUGGAAAAAGAGGAGAAGAGCAAGAACUCACUCCUUAAUAAUGGCAUUAAUCCUAACAUCUCCCAAAAGGGCUCACUUCUCAACAUUGUUGCAUUGGGAGUUGAGUUUCCAGCACAUGGUUGUUGGAGGAGAUGCAUUCAAACGACAGCAACUGGUCAAAGAAAGUCAUCUUUCUUUGUCCUGGUCCCACCAGCAACUUCAGACUAGGUUCUUCCAUCUAUAAAAUGACUGGAUUAGCUUAAAUUCUCUUGGUUACUCCAAAUGCUGUUAUUUUAGCAACUAUUUACUUCUAUGUUCAUGACAAGCAUUUAUUUCUUAUGAGAAUAUACAUUAGUAAUCAGUCAGUGAUUUCUGCAUAACUUCAAUAGAAAACGGUCCUUCUAAAAACCAAUGAAAAUUGGUAUGCAUCACACAGAUAAUGGAAAUGGGUCCACUUUGAGCCUAAAAUGUUUAUCAGCAAAGAUCAGCAAGGGAAAUUUAGCUUUGACUCCAAAGAAUACUGUGCUAAUGCUACACUCCUAUUUGUUCAAAUUAAACCCCCUGAAAACAUUUCUUUUGUUCCUUUAAUUUUGGGAACACAAGUCAAUUUGAAGGAAGCCAUGGUAUACUGUCCUUCCCCUUUACAGUCAGAGGGAUCUGCUGGUAUAGAGUGUGCCCAUGUUGAUCAGUUUUGCAACUCAAUGUGCCUUCCUGUUUAUUUCUAGUCAUCUCUUUUCAGUUUUGAAAACAAUGAACUCAGGUUGACCAUGAAGCCAAAGAUCAAAGGCAGUAAUUACCUUUUCAUCGGUUUGUUUUGAGCUAGCAUUCUACCUUACCUGCCUUCUUCUCCCCAAUCCCUUCUGUCUCCCUCAAAAGCAGGUAAUGAAUUUCAAGAAAUAAAUAAAGCCUGAUGCAUUCAACAACCAAGAACUGAACACAGCUCCAUGCCAGUCCCAGAAGUCAACAUGCUUUGGAAGGAGGUCCAGAAAAAUACAUUUCUGAUUAUCAGAAAAAUUUGAGACAUUAAAGUAUCCAAUUUAGACAACUGAGUGUAUGUCCUCUGAUCGCCAUGGGAAACUUUGCUGCAGGCUACUGAAUAUGGAGGGGAUGGCUCCUCGUUGCUUUCAGACACUCCUGAGGAAAUAUUAUAAAAUCAUUACCAUAUAAAGAGGCAAUCAAAGAGUAUGGAAGCCAAAAGAUUUCCUCGGAGGUUACACACUUCCUCUUCCAAUCCCCUAGUUCCUUGGCGGAAACUUUCAGCCUGUGAUGGGAAGAGAAGGUUGCAGGCCUUGAGAAUGUCAUUAAGGAGAUGAUGUGGGGCUCCUUGGCAUCUGGCUUUCCAUUUUGUUGCCCCUUCUGCCCAAGUUCGUCAUUCAUGUGUGCCGGAACCAUUCAAGUGCUGCACGCUGACCCUGGAAAACUUCAUCCUUAGGGCAAGUAACACACCAACUGACAUUGACCGGCAAGCAGCCAGCUGUAGCCCAACCUGCCCUUGGAGAGACAGCAUUGAAACAAACUUACAGGAUUCAUAACAAGAGCUUCCUCCACAUAGUUUCUCCUGCUAUUUUCCUAAAAAUCUACAACCACCACCAUUCUUCCCCCACCCUUGCCCGCAAUUUCGGCUUAUACUGCUUAUUAAGAACUGAUGAAAAAUCUGAAUACAGUAAAAAUUGAAUCCAGACACACAGGACAAUCUCUGCAAAUUCUUUCCCCUCCUUUUGUCCUGCUCUUGUUUUAGACUGUUUCGUAAAUGUAUUUCUUAAAUGUACUUUGUAAAUCUUUGAAAACAAUUAACAUUGUCUGAAAUACUUCAGAGUGAAUAAAACAUGCAGUAUCAUACCAUGAUCUUGGCUAGUUUUGUGUAUGAUAUGAAAAGCCAAG